GACAGAGGAGCCAAGCGUUGUCCGGAGUAACUGGGCGUAAAGCGCACGCAGGCGGCUUGGCGCGUGGGGUGUGAAAGCGGCAGGCUUAACUUGCCGAGGCCACCUCAUACGGCCAAGCUCGAGCCCUGCAGAGGUCCACGGAAUUGCCGGUGUAGUGGUGAAAUGCGUAGAGAUCGGCAGGAACACCCAGGGGGAAACCAGUGGACUGGGCAGGGACUGACGCUCAGGUGCGAAAGCGUGGGGAGCGAACCGG
RNAcentral lists this ribosomal RNA (253 nucleotides) under uncultured bacterium. RNAcentral describes it as "partial 16S ribosomal RNA". It matches the Rfam family "Bacterial small subunit ribosomal RNA", at positions 524 to 776 of the family's 1533-position model. The record is from RNAcentral.